CUAGAGACAGAGUCUUCCCCUUCGGGGGACAAAGUGACAGGUGGUGCAUGGUUGUCGUCAGCUCGUGUCGUGAGAUGUUGGGUUAAGUCCCGCAACGAGCGCAACCCUUAAGCUUAGUUGCCAGCAUUAAGUUGGGCACUCUAAGUUGACUGCCGGUGACAAAUCGGAGGAAGGUGGGGAUGACGUCAAAUCAUCAUGCCCCUUAUGAUUUGGGCUACACACGUGCUACAAUGGACAAUACAAAGGGCAGCUAAACCGCGAGGUCAUGCAAAUCCCAUAAAGUUGUUCUCAGUUCGGAUUGUAGUCUGCAACUCGACUACAUGAAGCUGGAAUCGCUAGUAAUCGUAGAUCAGCAUGCUACGGUGAAUACGUUCCCGGGUCUUGUACACACCGCCCGUCACACCACGAGAGUCUGUAACACCCGAAGCCGGUGGAGUAACCAUUUAUGGAGCUAGCCGUCGAAGGUGGGACAAAUGAUUGGGGUGAAGUCGUAACAAGGUAGCCGUAUCGGAAGGUG
This 517-nucleotide ribosomal RNA is filed under the name uncultured bacterium. RNAcentral's name for it is "bacterial SSU rRNA". It matches the Rfam family "Bacterial small subunit ribosomal RNA", at positions 1000 to 1514 of the family's 1533-position model. The record is from RNAcentral.